GUGAAGAAGAUGGAGAACAAGGUGUGAGCAAGUGUAAGUCCAUAGUGAAAUUGAAGCCUUUGCCGGGAGCGGGGCCGGUGAAGCUGAGCUUCUGCUUCUCCUCGUCGAGCACCACCAGCCUGCACUCCAUCUGGAAGACUGGAACCCUCUGAUCACCGCAGGGAUGAUGUGCGGCAAGAGAUCAAUUUCGCGGUCGAGUGGAGCUAACCCCUGCAAUUGACUCCUUAAAACCGUGCACGAGUUUGGGCCUGCCUUUUCUUCUGGACGUGGUCGGUACUUCAGCCCUUAAAGUUUGGGCCUACCUUUUCUGUUGGAUCUCUCGUAGUGCUGGAUUCUUACAUGUUUUUUUUAACCCUUGGAUCAAGGUACUCCUUUGUUUUUUUAGUCCGCACUCCAUAGGAUCAAUGAAAAAGUACCAAAUUAUACGGACCA
This is a long non-coding RNA of Brachypodium distachyon (stiff brome), 432 nucleotides long. RefSeq lists it as uncharacterized. The record is from RefSeq and is a predicted model, not a curated record. Lineage: Eukaryota; Viridiplantae; Streptophyta; Magnoliopsida; Poales; Poaceae. The transcript is spliced from 2 exons.